Molecule: transfer RNA, 21 nt
Filed under: Pachyptera kerere
Lineage: Eukaryota; Viridiplantae; Streptophyta; Magnoliopsida; Lamiales; Bignoniaceae
Also listed under: 2 other names
Description: partial tRNA-Leu
Source: RNAcentral
AGCCGCUAUGGUGAAAUUGGU